RNAcentral lists this long non-coding RNA (324 nucleotides) under Felis catus (domestic cat). RNAcentral's name for it is "lncRNA (ENSFCAG00000049248.1)". The record is from RNAcentral. Lineage: Eukaryota; Metazoa; Chordata; Mammalia; Carnivora; Felidae.
UGCGUGAUACACAUUCAAGAUGAAAACCCAUGGCUAAGAGAAAGUGACUGUAUUAAAAUACCUUUUAGACAAAUGAUUUUAAACGCCUCAAAGAUGGAAAGUAAAUAAGGACAGUGGAGAAAAGAAAACUUGCUGCCAAUCCACCACCUAUAGAUGACCACUAUAAACAAUUGAGAAUUGUACUGAAACAAAGAAGAACUGGGAUAUUGCUUAUAAAUAUAACUCACUGUUGGUUGUGCAGAAAGACUUUAAAAGGGAAAGUAAUCUAAAAAUUCUGCUCUUUUGGCCAAAGAGAGUUUCCCCCCUUUGGCAUCAUUUGGCACA